RNAcentral lists this ribosomal RNA (427 nucleotides) under uncultured bacterium. Its description in RNAcentral is "bacterial SSU rRNA". It matches the Rfam family "Bacterial small subunit ribosomal RNA", at positions 355 to 774 of the family's 1533-position model. The record is from RNAcentral.
UGGGGAAUUUUGGACAAUGGGCGCAAGCCUGAUCCAGCAAUGCCGCGUGCAGGAUGAAGGCCUUCGGGUUGUAAACUGCUUUUGUACGGAACGAAAAAGCUCUCUCUAAUACAGGGGGUGAAUGACGGUACCGUAAGAAUAAGCACCGGCUAACUACGUGCCAGCAGCCGCGGUAAUACGUAGGGUGCAAGCGUUAAUCGGAAUUACUGGGCGUAAAGCGUGCGCAGGCGGUUUUGUAAGACAGAGGUGAAAUCCCCGGGCUCAACCUGGGAACUGUCUUUGUGAGUGCAAAUCUGGAGUGCGGCAGAGGGGGAUGGAAUUCCGCGUGUAGCAGUGAAAGGCGUAGAUAUGCGGAGGAACACCGAUGGCGAAGGCAAUCCCCUGGGCCUGCACUGACGCUCAUGCACGAAAGCGUGGGGAGCAAACA